UUGCUCUUCAACGAGGAAUUCCUAGUAAGCGCAAGUCAUCAGCUUGCGUUGAUUACGUCCCUGCCCUUUGUACACACCGCCCGUCGCUACUACCGAUUGAAUGGCUUAGUGAGGCUUUGGGACUGGCUUUCGGAGGGAGGCAACUCCUUCUGAGAGCCGGAAACUUAGUCAAACUUGGUCAUUUAGAGGAAGUAAAAGUCGUAACAAGGUUUCCGUAGGUGAACCUGCGGAAGGAUCAUUAAAAAAUAUAGAAUUAAUUUUCUAUAAACCCAAUCUGUGUAUUCGUACCUGUUGCUUCCGUGGGACAGUGAACGCUUGUCGUUCCCUCUGGCGCUGUUCUUCGGAACGGAUGCUGGGGAGUGCCCACGGGAGGUCUACAUAAACUCUGUUUUUUCUGAACUCAGUCUGAAAACUGUUUUUAAAUAAACUUUAAAACUUUCAACAACGGAUCUCUUGGUUCUCGCAUCGAUGAAGAACGCAGCGAAAUGCGAUAAGUAGUGUGAAUUGCAGAAUUCAGUGAAUCAUCGAAUCUUUGAACGCACAUUGCGCCUCCUGGUAUUCCGGGAGGCAUGCCUGUUCGAGCGUCAUUAACACCCCUCAAGCUUAGGUUUACCUAUUGCUUGGUCUUGGAGAUGGAAGCCAAUUCGUUGGAGUCCUCUUCGAAAUCCAAUGGCGAAGACCCUUGCUCUCCCAAGUGUAAUAAUAACUUAUGUCACUGAAGGAAGCGAGAAAUCUUCCGCCGAAACCCCAAAUUGUUUAUGAUUGACCUCGAAUCAGGUAGGGAUACCCGCUGAACUUAAGCAUAUCAAUAAGCGGAGGA
RNAcentral lists this ribosomal RNA (820 nucleotides) under uncultured fungus. RNAcentral's name for it is "eukaryotic LSU rRNA". The stretch from base 1 to 241 matches the Rfam family "Eukaryotic small subunit ribosomal RNA", at positions 1593 to 1831 of the family's 1831-position model. Lineage: Eukaryota; Fungi. The record is from RNAcentral.